AAGUCUCUUGCCUCGCUCGGUCAGUUUGCGUUUCUAUCGUCUGAUCUUGAGCUGGAUACACCUUCCUUUGUAUUACAUGUGAAGGGAUGUAUGGGACGAGAAGAGUGGAGGUCCUCCUAUCGAUGAUUUUUGAGUACGAUUCCACGGCCUGCACAUCGCCUGGGAUUGUAAUUUAUCCGUCGAGACAUGU
Coccidioides immitis RMSCC 3703 is the source of this 190-nucleotide small nucleolar RNA. Lineage: Eukaryota; Fungi; Ascomycota; Eurotiomycetes; Onygenales; Onygenaceae. The record is from Rfam.